RNAcentral lists this ribosomal RNA (424 nucleotides) under uncultured bacterium. Its description in RNAcentral is "partial 16S ribosomal RNA". It matches the Rfam family "Bacterial small subunit ribosomal RNA", at positions 360 to 776 of the family's 1533-position model. The record is from RNAcentral.
AAUAUUGGACAAUGGGCGCAAGCCUGAUCCAGCCAUGCCGCGUGUGUGAAGAAGGUCUUCGGAUUGUAAAGCACUUUAUUUUGGGAGGAAGGGCAGUUAACGAAUACUUAACUGUGUUUACGUUACCAAAAGAAUAAGCACCGGCUUACUUCGUGCCAGCAGCCGCGGGAAUACGAAGGGUGCAAGCGUUAAUCGGAAUUACUGGGCGUAAAGCGCGCGUAGGUGGUUUGUCAAGUUGGAAGUGAAAGCCCCGGGCUCAACCUGGGAACUGCUUUCAAAACUGGCAAGCUAGAGUAUGGCAGAGGGUGGUGGGAUUUCCUGUGUAGCGGUGAAAUGCGUAGAUAUAGGAAGGAACAUCAGUGGCGAAGGCGACCACCUGGGCUAAUACUGACACUGAGGUGCGAAAGCGUGGGGAGCAAACAGG